RNAcentral lists this ribosomal RNA (221 nucleotides) under uncultured Nocardioides sp. RNAcentral describes it as "partial 16S ribosomal RNA". It matches the Rfam family "Bacterial small subunit ribosomal RNA", at positions 404 to 636 of the family's 1533-position model. Lineage: Bacteria; Bacillati; Actinomycetota; Actinomycetes; Propionibacteriales; Nocardioidaceae. The record is from RNAcentral.
AGGGAUGACGGCCUUCGGGUUGUAAACCUCUUUCAGCACAGACGAAGCGAAAGUGACGGUAUGUGCAGAAGAAGGACCGGCCAACUACGUGCCAGCAGCCGCGGUAAUAACGUAGGGUCCGAGCGUUGUCCGGAAUUAUUGGGCGUAAAGGGCUCGUAGGCGGUCUGUCGCGUCGGGAGUGAAAACCAGGUGCUUAACACCUGGCCUGCUUCCGAUACGGG